This is a long non-coding RNA of Equus caballus (horse), 710 nucleotides long. RefSeq lists it as uncharacterized. The record is from RefSeq and is a predicted model, not a curated record. Lineage: Eukaryota; Metazoa; Chordata; Mammalia; Perissodactyla; Equidae.
CCCUUUAAGACCUUAUUAUUUAGUUGAAGGCGACAGAAAUAUUUACAGAUACGGCCAAGCAGGGACAUUUGUUUGUCUCCAAACAGUCAACCCCUCCUUCCUUUUAGUAAUACAAUCCCCCAACUUGGGCAUGCACCUCCCCUAUAGACUAUGUUUCUUGGCUUGUCUUAAUUAUGGUCGUGUGACUAAGUUUUGUCCAAUGGGAUGUGAGCAGAAGUGACAUGUGCAACUUCUGGGUCAUAUCUCUAAAAGGAAACCACUUGCUCAUUUUCCUCCUCCCUCCUUUCCAGGGCCUAGAUGUGGAUGUGGCAGUGUGAGCCAAAUCCUCUCAUCUGGACGAGAACAACACAGGAAGAGCUGGUGGAGCAACAACAUGGGAGGAGCCGCAGAGGAACUUGGGAGACCAUCUCCUCUCCCUUGAUUGCUUAUCAGCCAGCGAGAGAGAGAGAGAACACUUCUAUCUUGUUUAAGCCACUGUUACUUAGUCUCUGCUAAAGCAGCUGAAUCAAUAUCCCAACUAAUAUAUACACAUUUCCCCUAACAGACCAGGAGUUUCUGGAAACCUCGUUGUUUCUUCAAGCUCAUCAACGGAGCCCAUGCAGUUGCUAGAAUCUGAGGCUUGGAGACAGAAAGAUCUGUUGGAUUCCUGGCUCCACCACUUACAACUUCUCAUUAUUUACAAUAGCCAAGAUGUGGAAGCAACCUAAAGU